AGGACGAACGCUGGCGGCGUGCUUAACACGUGCAAGUCGAGCGGUAAGGCUCCUUCGGGAGUACACGAGCGGCGAACGGGUGAGUAACACGUGAGCAAUCUGCCCUUCUCUUCGGAAUAACCAUUGGAAACGAUGGCUAAUGCCGAAUACGACCUCCUUUCGCAUGAUCGGAGGUGGAAAGCUCCGGCGGAGAAGGAUGAGCUCGCGGCCUAUCAGCUAGUUGGCGGGGUAACGCCCACCAAGGCGACGACGGGUACGCCGGCCUGAGGAGGGUGACCGGCCACACGUGGGACUGAGACACGGCCCAGCUCCGUACGGGAGGCAGCGAGUGGGAAUAGUGGACAG
This 345-nucleotide ribosomal RNA is filed under the name uncultured soil bacterium. RNAcentral's name for it is "bacterial SSU rRNA". It matches the Rfam family "Bacterial small subunit ribosomal RNA", at positions 26 to 371 of the family's 1533-position model. The record is from RNAcentral.